AACAGGUCCCGUAUGAUCCCCGAAGUUAAGCAACGUCGAACCUGGUCAGUACCUAGAUGGGUGACUCCUUGGGAAUAUC
Molecule: non-coding RNA, 79 nt
Organism: Acanthosepion pharaonis
Lineage: Eukaryota; Metazoa; Mollusca; Cephalopoda; Sepiida; Sepiidae
Source: the annotation of a GenBank genome assembly